This 459-nucleotide long non-coding RNA is filed under the name Physcomitrium patens. RNAcentral's name for it is "long non-coding RNA (PPAT_LNC004496)". Lineage: Eukaryota; Viridiplantae; Streptophyta; Bryopsida; Funariales; Funariaceae. The record is from RNAcentral.
UAGGAUUUGAUUAAGAUUUGGUUUAAGGUUUAGGAUUUGGAUUAGGGUUUGAUUUAGGAUUUAGGGUUUGGAUUAGGGUUCGAUUUAGGAUUUAGGAUUUGGAUUAGGAUUUUUUUAGGAUUUGAUUUAGGAUUUAAGAUUUACUUAGGGUUUGAUUUAGGAUUUAGGGUUUGGUUUAGGAUUUGGAUUAGGAUUUGAUUUAGGAUUUGGUUGGGGUUUGGUUUAAGGUUUAUUUAGGAUUUGAUUUAGGAUUUAGGAUUUUAUUAGGAUUUAAGAUUCAAUUAGUUUUGGCCUAAAGUUUGAAUGAAGUUUAAUAGGAUUUUAACUAGAAUUAAAUUAAGAUUGAAUUGAGAUGUAUUUGAGUGAUAUUUGUGAUCCUUCUAAUAUUUCUUUAAGAAUUCUCAUUGUUUAUUUGAAAUUUCUUUGAGAUUUUUUUUAAAAUUUGAUUAAGCUUGCUUA